GUGGUCUGCACUGCGCCCAGCAGUCCCCAAGCUCAGGGGCCCGGGAGCUAAGGAGUUAUAUUUUGACUGGAGACUAUUUCCUUCUCUCCUCCUUUUAUUUUAAACACUCUGGAUGCACAGGGACAAACUCUGGAGUAGUCCCUCCGCCUGCCAAUGUUUUGUUUGAUUUUGUUUUUAAAUCUCAAGUAAUGUGUGGAGGAGGCGCAGUAACAAGUUUGCCAGGUUUUUAAAAUGUAGAUUGGCUUUUAGAUGUUCCUUCGAAAUGUCAGAGUGUCGGUGUUGUUUUUCCACAGCAGCGUUUACGCCCACGCGAGGGCACACGCACACACAUACACACACGCACGCUCACGCGUGCAGACACUACCAUGCAUGUACACACUCGUACACACCCACGCUCACACUUGCAGACACUAACACACAUGUACACACUCACACACACGCAUGCUCACACGUGCAGACACUAACAUGCGUGCACACACACACAGGUUCUUACAACCACACUCAGGGAAAACUGGCUGCCUUCUGCCCCUGGACACACGGCCCCCACUCAGCGCCUGUCCCCAAGCCUCGCCUCACCAAUCAGGCACCACUCCUGCCUCCGAAUCCCAGGGGACAAGAGGCAGAGCCCAUAUGUCAGGAGUGGAGAGAGAGGGGGCUUCUGCAGACCCCGAGAGGCUGGGUGGGCGGCACAGCCCCCAGCUCCUAAACAAACCCAGCAGGCCAGGGCAGAUGACAAAUGACGGGAUUGUGUCAGCUUGAGAGCAGAUUGGACUAAUGGCAUGCCGGCCUCUGUUCUCCAAGGAUCAAUAUUCCAUCAGGCCGGCCGUGUGAGUCGCGCUCCUGAGGACAAAGGGGGCGACUGGCGGUCACCUGCACACGCUGCCCCCAGCGCCCCCUUCGCNNNNNNNNNNNNNNNNNNNNNNNNNNNNNNNNNNNNNNNNNNNNNCCUGGCCCCCUUCCCGGCCCCCCCCCGCCCCCCCCUAGGGAGAGGCUUCCAGAAAGCUCCACCUGCCUCUUCUGUGGCCUUUCCACCUUGUGUCCAGCGCUGGGGAGCCACUGUCCUACCUGGUCUUCCUCAAGGGCUUUCCAGCAGCCUCCCUGCCCUAUGGCUCCCGGGAGGCUGGAUCCAACUCAGAUGCUAACUCCAGACAGGUGUGUGGCCGGCCCCCCACCAGAGGACACCAGGCCAAGUCCUUCUCGGGAGCAGUGCAAGGGCCGGUCCCAGGCCUCAGGGCACCCUUGUCCUCUAGAAGGUCACCCCAGAGAGGCCCGCUCCCUGCGUCCCUCCCACCCGUAUUGAGUACCUACUGUAUACAAAUCAAAAUCAAAGCCAAGGACGGAGGUUCGUGCCAGCCGUGUGGGUGGGGCCGUGUGGGGGCAGGGAAGGAUGGGCCGUCUGUUUCCCUGGUCUCAUCCCGUGCAAAUUUUACCAAGAUGACGGCUCUCCUGGAAGCCACCGAUCCCGCUCCUGGGCAGCAGGCCCUGGUCUGGGCUUGAUCCCUCUGGAGCAAGGGCCCUCAUCUUUCCUGGCCGGGCCGCCCCUGCUGCCUGGGUCAGAGGCUGCCUGUGGGGCCUCAGCCCUGGCUCUGGUUACAGACACCGCGUGGGCCCACCUACCCCAGAUCAUCCCAAGCCGAGGCCAGAUCUGACAGGGGUCUCCUGGGCAGGGGGCUGACCUGGGGUGGGGCAGGUCAGGUCAGAGCAGCUUCUCCCGGCCCGGUCGUGUUGUCCAGCUCUGCCUGGGGAUCAGGCCCUGGCAGAUCACUUGGCUUAGGGUUUGGACCCCAUGGGCUGCCCCCCUCAGUCCCAGGGAAGGUCAGCAUUGCUUCGACUGGCUCUUACACAGCUCGGCACCAGAUGCUUCAGAACCAACAUGUGGUCUGGGAGCUCAGCCACCCAUAGCCAAGGCCCAGGCCAUGGCCUGGACGCCACUCCCGCCUGGGCCCAACGGUGUUCUGAGCGUGGGGACAGCGUGCAUCCGUGCUGGGGCGGGGUGGCGGGGGAGAUGGCGCCUCGCUGCGUUUCCGCCCUUAGCUCCUGUGGCCUGGGCUCUGCUCUAACCCUCCUGGCAUAACCGCUGCUGGUCUUUCCAUCGUCUCACCCACCUCCGUGAGGGGGGCCUGGGCAGCAGGGUUAAGGCCAUUUCAACUACGCUUGUGGCCCAGGGGUGCGCAGGGCUGGCCCGGGGUUCCUGCGGUCGUGGCCAAGGCCGUCCUCAGGAGAAGGAAAUCAGAUUGGACCGUGCAGGCCCGGGGCCCACUGGAAACGUGGGGAGGCUGGGGAGCCAGAGCAGGGCCAGCCCCCAGUCCUGCUCCGGCAUCGCCGGUCCCUCCAGGGCAGCGAGGGACAGCCUCAGGUCUGGGGGAAGCGUGAGGGCCCAGGUGGGCAGGGUGCUCGGUGUCACCUUGUCACUGGCUGCCACACGGGCUGUUCCACGAUCUCUUUUCCAGCCUCUCAGGUGUGAUUCGUUGAGUUAUCCAGACCAGAGAAGCCCGCUCUUUCUCCCUCCUCCACGCAGGCAUCUCCAGCUUGGGGCCCAGGGCUGGGGGCACGGGGAGCUCCCGGGUGAUCUGGAUGCACAUGGGUUUGGGCCUGGGCAGGGCUGGCAUCGGGGAGCUACAGACCAGCUGCCCCGACUCCUUGGGGGGCUCAUAAACCCGAGGAGCUCAUAAACCCUGGUCCUUGGGAGCUGGAAGCACAUUCCUGAGCUUUCCUUCAAAAACCAGGAGGGUCCAGGUUGUAGCGUGGUGGCCUCGGACCACCCCCCCCCACGGGAACGCAGCCUUCCAGCCGUGCUCGGAUGUUCCUAAUGGCUUUGUGGCCUGUGUCUGGGCCACUCACUUGCUGAGACCGACCGACGGGCCGCGAGCUGUCCCGGGGACCUCAGGGCUCACGUGGUCUCAGCUGCUGGGCAGGAGAACUCGAGGGCCAGGGUGCCGAGGAACACGAGCACCAGGCCCCCAGGGCAGGGCUCGGCUGGGUCACGUGUGCACACCUGUGUGCGUGGGAGCGUGUGCGUGUACUGUGUGAAUGUGCACGUGGGCAUGUGCAGGGGUGCAGGCAGGAGGGCACGAGCAGCAGCUCUGUGGUCGCGUGGCACCGAGGACGCCCGCAAAAGAGAAGCCCUGGGAGCCCCGCCGGGCCUGCCCGGGGCUCGGC
This 3159-nucleotide long non-coding RNA is filed under the name Sus scrofa (pig). RNAcentral's name for it is "lncRNA (ENSSSCG00005000709.1)". The record is from RNAcentral. Lineage: Eukaryota; Metazoa; Chordata; Mammalia; Artiodactyla; Suidae.